AUAAUACUCCCUCCGUCCUAAAAUUCUUGUCUUAGACUUGUCUAGAUACGGAUGUAUAUCAAGUCACGUUUUAGCAUUAGAUAUAUCCAUAUCUAGACAAAUGUAAGACAAGAAUCUUAGGACGGAGGGAGUAGCAU
Triticum aestivum (bread wheat) is the source of this 137-nucleotide non-coding RNA. NCBI's taxonomy places the organism in Eukaryota, Viridiplantae, Streptophyta, Magnoliopsida, Poales, Poaceae. The record is from Rfam.